CAUUACAUGAAUUUGUACCUAAGCAACACACGCAGGCCUACAGUUAGAGGUUCUGGGUUCCAAUGCUGCCUCCUACCAGGGUCCGGGGAGGGACGGUGCUCAGCUUCUGGAGACUGCGUUUCCUCUUCUGUGCAGUAGGAAGUGUCAACCCUGGCCUCUGGAUGGGUGGGAGGGCCAGGGUGAAUCCCCCACCCCCGACGGAGCUGCGGCUGGUGGGCUGGUGAGAGGGCAUGACCAGGGCCAGUGGACAGGCCAGCUGAGCACCGGAUCCCACCUGGGUCCAACCCUUGACUUUCUUUCCCAGCAGAGCAGGCGCUGGAACACGUGUCAGGAGAGACGUGAAGAGACUGGUGGAUGUGGCCAUUUGUCCAGGUGUGGUCACUUCUUCAGAUAUGGUCACUUGUCUGGGUACCAUCACUUGUCCAGGUGUCAUCACUUGUCCAGGUCCGGAUCACUUGUCCAGGUCCGGUCACUUGUCCGGGUGCGGUCACUUGUCCCAGUGUGGUCACUUGUCCAGGUGUCGUCACUUGUCCAGGUGUGGUCAUUUGUCCAGGUGCGGUCACUUGUCCCAGUGUGGUCACUUGUCCAGGUGUCAUCACUUGUCCAGGUCCGGUCACUUGUCCGGGUGCGGUCACUUGUCCCAGUGUGGUCACUUGUCCAGGUGUCGUCACUUGUCCAAGUCCGGUCACUUGUCCAGGUGUGGUCACUUGUCCAGGUGGGGUCACUUGUCCAGGUGGGGUCACUUGUCCAGGUCCGGUCACUUGUCCCGGUGCGGUCACUUGUCCAGGUGGGGUCACUUGUCCAGGUGUCGUCACUUGUCCAGGUGUGGUCACAUCUUCAGAUACUGUCCCUUGUCUCGGCAGCAGGCAUGUCUGUGUCACGCACCUGAUGAGCCCCUGGAAUGAGCCUCGUUUGCUUUCUGCUCUGUGUCCCCCCCACUCAGCAGUUACUGCAGACCCUUUUGAGCCCCUGCCCAGCGCCUACCUCUCUCUGAGGACAAGUGCACCCACCCCAUGGUUCUGGGCCAGGGGGUGUUCAUGGCCUGACAGUCUCUGGCGACAGCUAAUCACCCCUUGACGUUGGCCACUCCCCCCGUGGGUCUGGCUUUGGGAUUUGGGGUCCUCCUGGCUUCACUCCAGAGCCUGGGUCUAGUGGCCAGGGUCUCAGCUCGAUUUCUUGGCACAGAUGAAAUGCAGUUGGCACCUUUGUUCUCGGUGGCCAUCCUGCACCCCCGGCACAGGCUCCUUUUGGAAGCAGCUGUUGUGCUGUCCCUCUGUUAGGGUUGAAAGGUGUCCCCCCAAACAGGAUGUUGAGGUCCGAACUCCAGAACCUCACAAUGUGGACGCCUUUGGUGAUAGGGUUGCUGCAGGUACAACUGGUUAAGGCUUGGUCAUCCCGGAGCCGCUAACCCAGCAUGACUGGUGUCCUUUGAAACGGCCGUGUGAGGGUGGGACAGCUAGGGCUGGUGGACGUAGAGGGUGGAGGCACACAGCCACCAGCCAAGGAUCACCAGUGACCCCAGAGGCUGGAAGAAGCAGGACAGACCCUCUGCUACAGGCUGCAUGGCCCAGUCUCUCCCUCGUCACCUGCAUCCCUGUGCCACCAGCUUCCUGACAACCUGGCCUUUCCUGAGGGACGGAGACGAGGGGUUGCAGAGCCAACACGGCUGGGCAAAGUGCCUGGAGAACCAGCUCCUGGCCAGGGGCAGGGAGGACCGACCCUGAUGUCAGCUUGCAGGUCAAACCCCCCUUGGACUGGCCACCUCUGGGAUGGUUAGAGUGAAGGGCUGGGGCAGGGAGGCAGCUCAGCGCGGUUGGCUGGCUCCCGGGGGCAGCUCGGCCAGCAGGAAGGACUGGGUGCCAGGCUCACUCCAUCAAGUGGACACAGCGGUGGGCAGGUCUCAGCUGCGUCUGCUCUCUUGGGAGAACCCAGGUGGCCCCAGGCGAGGCCCUGCCCCCUGCGCCUGACGACCGAGCAGUCCACUUGAGUGGGGUGACAUGUGCGUCACCCCAAAGCAGCUUGGACUCCCCUGCUCCUGUGCCCACCUGGCCCAUGGGGCUGCCCCGCCAGCCAAGGGUCUGACCAUCUGCCUCCACUCAGCAUAUGCCGCUGUUUCAGUCUUUUCUGCCCUUUGCAGUUUCUAGAAAUGAGUGGGAAAUGGGAAAACAAAAGGGCUAAGAACUAAAAGCGCAGCUCUCACAACUUAAAAUAGCCACUCAAUAAAAAUGCAAUUUAAAAAAAGUAGCUGGAGUUGCAGGGGGAGUGGGAGGUCUUCAGCCUUGACCGGCUUUGUCCCUCUGCCCCGCCCCCUGCUUCCGGGGCAGCUCCAUCCCCAGCGGUUUGCACUUGGCCUUCCCCUUGACGCCCACUUUCCUGCACACCCGCAGCUGGCCUGGAGAGCACAACGCAGCACCUCUCACUGCCACUGCCUGCGGGCUUCAGCCUGGGGCGGUUUGCCAGCUUUGCUUCUCCCAGCUUCGAGAACCUGCGUGGUGACAGGUGCCUCCGCCCUGCAGCUGUCUUCACGCCGGUCAGAGCCAAGCCCCCAAGCCCCACUCUAGAUGUGUCCCCCUCCCCUGCCACCUGGCCCCUGGCUCACUUCGUCCUUGCCACGUGGGUCCUCUGCUGCCCCUGAGCUUUCCAGAACCAUCCCCAGUAUCUGCAUGACUCCCCCCUCACGUCCCGCAAACCCUUGCUCAGAUGUCACCUUCUCAGUGAGGUCCCUGAUGUGGCGGGGGUUUCCUGACCCGCUUUGCUUUCCCCGGAACCCUGGUGCCCUGCAGCCCCUCCCCCACUGGCUCGCUACACAAGGACCACCCGGACCAAGGCUGCUGUGUUGUUUCUAUCCGUGAUGUCUGGCUCACUCACCAUACAUCCUGGCGGUGGCAGGGGGUCUUUGCUACAGAGCAAUGUUAAAUCGAGGUGAAGCUGUGUGUUUCAUUACUAAACAAAUCAAAGAACAUGCAAAGAGGAUAAAUGCGACAAACCUGAGUGUCCUGUCCGUUUUUGAUGUCUACACCUUUGAACUGUGUUUAUGUGUUCAGGGACCUGGAACACCUGUAGGGCCCCCCACCCCCGGAUUUCCAGAAAUCAGUAAAAAGGAUCAGAAGAUUACACUUUGCUUAAAAAUAAUUUCCCUAUGUCAAUGCUAUUAAAAGAAAAAAAAACCCAAAACAAAAAAAAACCCUCCCAAACUGCCAAAGGACAUUCUGACGGAAAAUAAUCUCAAUCCUGAAAAAAUAUACAGGCUUUAUCUUCAGAGUAGCAGUUGGUGAACGUAUCUUAAGACGGGCGGAAACAGAAAAUCUUUUUUUCCUGUUGACACGCAUUUGAACAUAGACACAGGAGCCAGGCAUCUCUACUGCUCAGCCUCCAAGGUGUAAGCCCAGCCCGCAUGCCAGGAAAUGUGGGUUCGAACUGCCUCUCUCGCUGACCUUGCUCCCUCCUGGUCUUGGACGGUGAGCAGAGGGCAGCCUGCAUCCCACGGGCGCUAAGCGGGGCCAGCCUCCCAGCGGCGAAGGUACCGCUGCAUUAGGAGGGACCUGCUCUUGGCCACCACGGUUCCCAGAGCUGCUCACAUGGGCUCCUGUCCCUCCUCCCAGCGUCCAGCUUAGAGGUCGAGGGGAAAUGUUGUACCCGUCAGGUCACAGACAGGUGGUCACAGCUGCCAAGGCAGAUUUUGGGAGGCGAGUUCAAGUCCAUAUGUCAGAAAUGUCUGGGAGGAUGUUGUCAGCUACUGUGUACAUACGGCAUCUCCUCCUGGGAGGGCCGCACACGGUGGCGGCUCCCUGCCUUCUCCAUGGAGAGCCACGCCUGCUCCACACCUGUUCUGCACCUGCUUGACACCUGCUCCAUGCAGAUCCACACCUGCUCCACACCUGCUCCACACAUGUUCUGCACCUGCUCUAUACCUGCUCCAGGCAGAUCCACACCUGCUCCAUGCCUGCUCCACACCAGCGCCAUGCAGGUCCAUACCAGCUCGACAUCUGCUCGACACCUGCUCCAGGCAGAACCACACCUGUUCCAGCCCUGCUCCACACCUGCUCCACUGUGUUUAUUUUCUCUGGACUUCUCGAAUUAUGAGCAUCAGAUUCCCUGGCUGGAGGUGAAUUUCUGAUUGUUACCGGAAGCAACUAACACCCUGCCUUUCUUCCACCUACUCAGCUAAUGUGUCACGAUCGCUA
Molecule: long non-coding RNA, 4184 nt
Filed under: Sus scrofa (pig)
Lineage: Eukaryota; Metazoa; Chordata; Mammalia; Artiodactyla; Suidae
Description: lncRNA (ENSSSCG00015049776.1)
Source: RNAcentral